GACGAACGCUGGCGGCACGCCUAACACAUGCAAGUCGAACGGACUUAAAAGAGCUUGCUUUUUUAAGUUAGUGGCGGACGGGUGAGUAACACGUGAGCAACCUGCCUCUGAGAGGGGGAUAGCUUCUGGAAACGGAUGGUAAUACCCCAUAAAAUAUAAAUAUCGCAUGAUAGAUAUAUCAAAGAAAUUCGCUCAGAGAUGGGCUCGCGUCUGAUUAGAUAGUUGGUGAGGUAACGGCUCACCAAGUCGACGAUCAGUAGCCGGACUGAGAGGUUGAACGGCCACAUUGGGACUGAGACACGGCCCAGACUCCUACGGGAAGCAGCAGUGGGGAAUAUUGCACAAUGGAGGGAACUCUGAUGCAGCGAUGCCGCGUGGAGGAAGAAGGUUUUCGGAUUGUAAACUCCUUUUAUCAGGGACGAUAAUGACGGUUCCUGAAGAAAAAGCUCCGGCUAACUACGUG
RNAcentral lists this ribosomal RNA (463 nucleotides) under uncultured bacterium. RNAcentral describes it as "partial 16S ribosomal RNA". It matches the Rfam family "Bacterial small subunit ribosomal RNA", at positions 28 to 507 of the family's 1533-position model. The record is from RNAcentral.